GGGCCUAUAGCUCAAUGUUUAGAGCCGACCGCUCAUAACGGUCUGGUUGCAGGUUCGAGUCCUGCCGGGCCCACCA
RNAcentral lists this transfer RNA (76 nucleotides) under Tardiphaga sp. vice154. RNAcentral describes it as "tRNA-Met". It matches the Rfam family "tRNA". Rfam says of the family: Transfer RNA (tRNA) molecules are approximately 80 nucleotides in length. Their secondary structure includes four short double-helical elements and three loops (D, anti-codon, and T loops). Further hydrogen bonds mediate the characteristic L-shaped molecular structure. tRNAs have two regions of fundamental functional importance: the anti-codon, which is responsible for specific mRNA codon recognition, and the 3' end, to which the tRNAs corresponding amino acid is attached (by aminoacyl-tRNA synthetases). tRNAs cope with the degeneracy of the genetic code in two manners: having more than one tRNA (with a specific anti-codon) for a particular amino acid; and 'wobble' base-pairing, i.e. permitting non-standard base-pairing at the 3rd anti-codon position. RNAcentral also lists the same sequence under 3 other names. The record is from RNAcentral. Lineage: Bacteria; Pseudomonadati; Pseudomonadota; Alphaproteobacteria; Hyphomicrobiales; Nitrobacteraceae.